RNAcentral lists this ribosomal RNA (451 nucleotides) under uncultured delta proteobacterium. RNAcentral's name for it is "bacterial SSU rRNA". It matches the Rfam family "Bacterial small subunit ribosomal RNA", at positions 1085 to 1533 of the family's 1533-position model. The record is from RNAcentral. Lineage: Bacteria; Deltaproteobacteria.
UAUCCGCACGAGCGCACCCCUGUCCUUAGUUGCCAUCAGAUAAUGCUGGGAACUCUAAGGAGACAGCCUGUGACAAGCAGGAGGAAGGUGGGGAUGACGUCAAGUCAUCAUGGCUCUCACGUCCUGGGCUGCAAACGUGCUACAAUGGCUGGUACAAAGGGUUGCGAUACCGCGAGGUGGAGCCAAUCCCAAAAAACCAGUCUCAGUUCGGAUUGGAGUCUGCAACUCGACUCCAUGAAGGUGGAAUUGCUAGUAAUCGCGGAUCAGCAUGCCGCGGUGAAUACGUUCCCGGGCCUUGUACACACCGCCCGUCACACCACGAAAGUCAGCUGUACCUGACGUCGCUGGAGCUAACCCGCAAGGGAGGCAGGUGCCCACGGUAUGGUUGGUGAUUGGGGUGAAGUCGUAACAAGGUAGCCGUAGGGGAACCUGCGGCUGGAUCACCUCCUUU